Molecule: non-coding RNA, 84 nt
Filed under: Roseburia sp. OF03-24
Lineage: Bacteria; Bacillati; Bacillota; Clostridia; Lachnospirales; Lachnospiraceae
Also listed under: 1 other name
Description: skipping-rope RNA
Rfam family: skipping-rope RNA
About the family: Firmicutes, Fusobacteria, AlphaProteobacteria, Spirochaetes.
Source: Rfam by way of RNAcentral
AUUAUUUGAGGUGGUAAAUUUCGUUGCAACCACGCACCCUAUGGGUUAAAAGAGAUGCAGGGGCCGCGACGCCUGCCAAAUAAU